This 1383-nucleotide ribosomal RNA is filed under the name uncultured bacterium. RNAcentral describes it as "bacterial SSU rRNA". It matches the Rfam family "Bacterial small subunit ribosomal RNA". The record is from RNAcentral.
AGAGUUUGAUCCUGGCUCAGGACGAACGCUGGCGGCGUGCCUAACACAUGCAAGUCGAACGGAGUGCUUGCAUCUGAUUCUUUCGGGAUGAAGAUGCAAGUAUCUCAGUGGCGAACGGGUGAGUAACGCGUGAGAAACCUGCCUUUCACAAAGGGAUAGCCUCGGGAAACUGGGAUUAAUACCAUAUAAAGUUCCAAAUUAGCAUUAAAAAGGAACCAAAGUGUAAGCGGUGAAAGAUGGUCUCGCGUCCCAUUAGCUAGUUGGUGAGAUAAAAGCUCACCAAGGCGACGAUGGGUAGCCGGCCUGAGAGGGUGACCGGCCACACUGGAACUGAGACACGGUCCAGACUCCUACGGGAGGCAGCAGUGGGGAAUAUUGCACAAUGGAGGGAACUCUGAUGCAGCGACGCCGCGUGAGCGAAGAAGGCUUUCGAGUCGUAAAGCUCUGUCCUAGGGGACGAUAAUGACGGUACCCAAGGAGGAAGCCCCGGCUAACUACGUGCCAGCAGCCGCGGUAAUACGUAGGGGGCGAGCGUUGUCCGGAAUUAUUGGGCGUAAAGGGUUCGCAGGCGGCCUAUUAAGUCAGAUGUGAAAUCCCAUGGCUUAACCAUGGUAAGCAUUUGAAACUGGAAGGCUUGAGUUAAGGAGAGGAAAGUGGAAUUCCUAGUGUAGCGGUGAAAUGCGUAGAUAUUAGGAGGAAUACCAGUGGCGAAGGCGACUUUCUGGACUUUAACUGACGCUGAGGAACGAAAGCGUGGGUAGCAAACAGGAUUAGAUACCCUGGUAGUCCACGCCGUAAACGAUGAGUGCUAGGUGUUGGGGGUCAAACCUCGGUGCCGCAGCUAACGCAUUAAGCACUCCGCCUGGGGAGUACGUACGCAAGUAUGAAACUCAAAGGAAUUGACGGGGACCCGCACAAGCAGCGGAGCAUGUGGUUUAAUUCGAAGCGACGCGAAGAACCUUACCAGGUCUUGACAUCCCUUGAUAAUCUCAGAGAUGAGACAUCUCUUCGGAGCAAGGAGACAGGUGGUGCAUGGUUGUCGUCAGCUCGUGUCGUGAGAUGUUGGGUUAAGUCCCGCAACGAGCGCAACCCUUGCCUUUAGUUGCCAUCAUUAAGUUGGGCACUCUAGAGGGACUGCCGGUGAUAAACCGGAGGAAGGUGGGGAUGACGUCAAAUCAUCAUGCCCCUUAUGUCCUGGGCUACACACGUGCUACAAUGGUCUGUACAGAGGGAAGCGAAGCAGUGAUGUGAAGCGAAUCCCAGAAAACAGAUCUCAGUUCGGAUUGUAGGCUGCAACUCGCCUACAUGAAGCUGGAAUCGCUAGUAAUCGCAGGUCAGCAUACUGCGGUGAAUACGUUCCCGGGCCUUGCACACACCGCCCGU